This 442-nucleotide ribosomal RNA is filed under the name Macrobrachium sp. PNG2. RNAcentral describes it as "partial 16S ribosomal RNA". It matches the Rfam family "Bacterial large subunit ribosomal RNA", at positions 1932 to 2583 of the family's 2925-position model. Lineage: Eukaryota; Metazoa; Arthropoda; Malacostraca; Decapoda; Palaemonidae. The record is from RNAcentral.
CGCGGUAAUUUGACCGUGCGAAGGUAGCAUAGUCAGUAGUCUUUUAAUUGAAGGCUUGAAUGAAAGGUUGGACGAGGGAUAAGCUGUCUCUUAUUGCGUAGCUUGAAUUUAACUUUUAAGUGAAAAGGCUUGAAUUAUUUAGUGGGACGAUAAGACCCUAUAAAACUUGAUAUAAGUUUUGCUUGAUUUGUGACUUAGAGUGAAAAGCAAUCUUGUUUAAUUUAUAUUUCGUUGGGGAGAUGAAGAUAUAAUGAGUAACUGUCUAUUUAAUUAAAUAAGUAUAGUUAGUGUUUGAUCCUUCUUUGUGGAUUAGAAGAAUAAGUUACUUUAGGGAUAACAGCGUGAUUUUCUUUGAGAGUUCUUAUCGACAAGAGUAGUUGCGACCUCGAUGUUGAAUUAAAAUUUCAGUUAGGUGUAGCCGUUUAGCUGGUGGGUCUGUUCG